UCGUGCUAGGCGGGGAGCUAGCGGUGCCCUGUACCCGCAAUCCGCUAUAGCGGGGCGGAACUCCCCCUCGAGGUCUUGAACCUUUUGGGACUGCCUCUACUAAGUGGCGUUGAAGAUUGGGUCCUGCGCGGCAGAAGGCUAUGAAUCCCGUCAGGUCCGGAAGGAAGCAGCGGUAAAUAGUGAUUUCUGGGUGCCGCAGGGUUGCCUGAUCAGAGCUGGCUGGUAGUAGUAAGCUAGGAGGCGAGGUCGACAGUGGGUGCACGG
RNAcentral lists this signal recognition particle RNA (264 nucleotides) under Dehalococcoidia bacterium. RNAcentral's name for it is "signal recognition particle sRNA large type". It matches the Rfam family "Bacterial large signal recognition particle RNA". From Rfam's summary of the family: The signal recognition particle (SRP) is a universally conserved ribonucleoprotein involved in the co-translational targeting of proteins to membranes. Archaeal SRP consists of a 7S RNA and homologues of the eukaryotic SRP19 and SRP54 proteins. The record is from RNAcentral. Lineage: Bacteria; Bacillati; Chloroflexota; Dehalococcoidia.